ACCGUGCCUACACCACAGCAGCACAGAAGCGAAGACGUGCGAGCUUCAGUGUGCCCCCCCCCUCCCCCACCCCGAUCACACACAGACAAACCGAGAGCGCAUCAGGGAAGAAAGGCGAAUCGCCCAUGCAGUGACACCCACCACACAUACACAACCACAAUCUGUCACUCAGAGAUGAGGCUACAUUCACAACUGGACUCAUCGCGAAAAUUGCCGUGAAGGCUGUUCCAUCUGGUAGAGCCGCUUAUAGACCGUUCUGGACUCCAAAACUGACGCGAUCAGAGGCAUGUCUUGCGAAAGUACCCUAGGCGUCGCCCGAGCAUCGCCCUCUCCAGGAUGUGUUCAUCAAGCAGGGCCAAAGAGUCAGCCUUGAAGGAUGGGUGCCCUCUGCAACUCACUCGCUCCCAUCGACCCUCGAUCUCGCGCACUCAUCUUGGCUAUCCAUGACCCCGUGCACUGCGCAAACCAGCAAUGAGACAAGGCGACCGCCACCUCAAUCCGAAAGGGCAGCUCAAUGUAUCGGUGAGGAUCUACCGGCAGAAGUCAGUGCAACAUCCGGCAGCCUCACCCCGCGCCCCACUGAGACAGCUCUACACCCUUCAACUCGCUCACGGUGGGUGACCUCGAAUAUGGCGCGCCGUGAAGUCCGCUGCGGCUCCGCCCCAGGCGCCCACGAAAUUCACCGCGAGAGUGGCAGGGGCACUACCGGUGUGCUGAAAGAGCGCGGCUGAACGUUUAAAACCAGAGCGUUCCCACCGGCUGCGCCGCUGCUACAUGGAAAGAAUGGCGCGUUGUGCCCCUCUUGAAGCCGCACAAGCCAGAUGGUGGUCCCGCGCCUCACUCUCUUUGACGCCGACCAGCAACCUGUACAAGUUACUUGAACAAAAGGCCUCGCGAAGACUGCGCGACCAACUGGAAAACAAGCUCCCACCACGGCAGUGUCUGGCUUCCGUCUUCACCGCUCUGCUUUAGACCUCCUGCGCUUUCUCCACCGCGCAUUAACCCAGCUACCGCCACGUGCUGAGGUAGGACUCGUAUUUUUGGACUACGUUCGUACGUUUAACUCGUCGGAUAACGGCGCUGAAGAAGUUCAGCGUACAGUCACACCUCACCAACAGGAUCCUGGAUCCCUCAGACAACCGCCGCUGCCUCAUCCUCGCUGGCGCCGCUGCCCGCGGACGAACACGUGGCAGAUGUGCAAGACGACGACAUUGUCCUAGACACCCCCGCCUCUCUCUUGCCCUGCAUGGCCGAGAGGGGGGCAUCGACAUCGGAGCUGCGGCAGGCGGCACAGCGAGCGCAUCAUCAUCAGCGGCGCAGCGGCGGCGGCGGCGGCACCGACGCGGCGCACGAACCUGCCGCGCCGGAGAAGAGCGAGCAUGCCCACCCGGCAGCACGGGGUGUCGGGCAGGAUGUGAUCGACCUCGUCACGGACGUCUUCACAGCGCAGCGCGAUGCCGAGAUCAAGAAGCGUCGCGAGGUACUCUAUGAGCUGACGCAUCCAAAUCCAAUCGACUACACGUACAACGGCAAGCUGGUGCCGCCGCCGCCGCUGAGCUUCGGGCAGGUGACGGAGGAGGCGCGUGCCCUCGGCAACAAGAUAAUGCUUGGGCAGACGUACUCGCUGGUGCGACAGGCCGGCACACGCGCCUCGGCCGACGACUUUGACGUGAUUGGCAGCUCGGCCAGCACAGCCGGCCGCGGCGCAGCAGCAGCAGUGACGAUUGUGUCGCCGGCCUCGAGCAUCGAGGCAGGUCUGGCGGCGCCGCUCUCCACUUUUUCGUCUCGCCAUGCGAAGGGCUACGGCGGCCGCACCGCUGCGGCGCCGUAUCGCAGCCGCGCGCGCGACGCGAACAUCUUCCGUGACCACAACUACUUCUUCGAGAUCAACGAGCUGUAUCAGGAGGUGGCCUUCGCCGGCAGAGCCUGCGCCGGCAAGUCCAGUCUGCUGAACGCGUUGCUGGGCCAGCACGUGGCCAAGACAAGCAGCACGCCGAACACGACGCGCAAGAUCUCCUUCUACCAGAGUGUGACGCCGGAGCAGCUGCACGCCUUCCAUGUCAAGGAGCACCACAACCAGCUUGUCAAGCUACCCGGCGGCGGGCUGCAGCUCACCUUUGUGGACUUGCCGGGCUACGGCAUCGAGGGCAUGAGCGACAAGUGGCGUGAUGCGGCCAUCGAGCUGACGGACGCCUACUUUGGCGUUCGCCGCUCCGUCAACACCGUUCUGUACUGCAUGGACUGCGAGCGGGGCCUCACCAAGACGGACAUCAAAUACUUGGAGUGGAUCGAGAACGUCCAUGGCGCGUGCUUUAUGGUGCUGACCAAGUGCGACAGCGUACCGCACUCCCGCGUCUGCUCCGUCAUGCGCCAGGUGUACGCGCUGAUCACGAAGCACCGGCACAAGUACCGCAAGGUGUUCCCCUUCAUCAUUCCCGUCUCGGCCAAGGAUGGCACGAACAUCGAGCUUCUGCGUGGCCUCAUCGCAGAGACCGCUGGAAUCAUACCUGGCGAUAAGCUACGGGAGCUGUUGCAGCACAAGAAGGCGGCCUUCACACGCACGGCGCUUCUGGCGGAGGUGAGCCGCAUCGACGCUGCGCGGCAGCUGGAGCGCGACCAGGCGAAAGUCUACUUUCAACUCACGUGCGGCGGCACCAGCGCGAGCGCGGCCGCAGAGUUGCCGCCGGAAGCGCGCUGUAGUGAGAGGCCAGGCGCGAGGCGAGAGCGGGAAGUGAGCGGUGGCGCCAGUGCGGGUGCGCAAGGCACGAGCGCCGAGCGGGGCGCUACACUUCCUCCCAACGUCGAUGCGUCUGAGACCGCGGCGUCGCCGUCUGAUGCAGCACUCGGCAGCUGCCACCGCCGCUAUGUGCUGCCGCUCGGCAACGGCGCCGCUGACGCUGAAGCUGCGGCGCUGCUCUCCGGCUGUGCCAGCGAUCUGGACGCAGCGGGCGACACUGCAGACUUCUUCCCUACCGAAUCGUCGAUGGCGGCUGCGGCUGCGGAGGGUCGUCGUGAGAGACGUGAACGGUUCCUCGCCUGGCGUAGGGCGCACCCACUGCGCACAGUGUCACCGUCGUACAGUGCAAUCCAUGGGCAGGUGGGCUAUGAUGCUACCCGACCCGUUGCAGCAUCAGAGCAAGAGGCAGGCCUUCCGGGCAGCGGCCGCUACCGACUGAACACCGGCCUCGACAAUCCCAGGGCUGCUCAUGCUGUGCUGGAGCUGCACGGGGGGCCGGAUGUCUCUGAGGGAGAGUGCGGCCCGCGCGGCAAGGACGGUGAGGGGGCGCGACAUGGCGGAGGCGACGCCGAAGCGCGGAAUUCCAGGGCCACAGCCGUGGCCUCCGCAGGCGAGUCUUCGCAUUCUCCGCCGCCAGCGCUGCCAAUAGCGGCGGCAUGUCACGGCAGGCGCUUCAGCGUCAUCGGUCUCAGUGACGUCGACACAGACGGCAGCGUUGCGCCAGGUGCCGCCGCCAGCGCAGCGCCGCCGGCAGUGGCACCGCCUUCUUCAUUGAGAUCGGCCUCGACAGGUACGGUCUCGCGGUUUCUCGACGUGAUGGAGCAGUAUGGCCGCCAGCACAAUGUUGUUUCGUCGGCAAAGCAGAAGCGGAGGGAGGAGCGCUGGCGUCGGCGCGGCGGCGGUGGCGGCGCGCGUGGCAGACAUUGCGCUCUCGGCGGCCUGCUCGCCGAGGACGCGUCUGGUCGCCUGUCGGCCUACAGAGCUGGCAGGCCGUGUGGACCGGCUCUCGUGUCGACCAACACCGACGUGGAUAGGCGCCAGGCCGAGUGGCGGGCGGAGCAGCUGAAGACGCUUCUUGCGAAGGAAAACCCCGAGGCGCCGUGGGCGGCACUGCACCAGCUGCGCCGGAAGAUCCAGGCCCGCGAGGAGGAGACGGCACUGGCGGGGAUGCGGAAGAAGGAGGUCGCCGCGUAUGUGCGCAACGCCGGCCGUGUGACGGCGAGCUUCGAGAAGUUCGAGGGCGAGGUGACGGCUGCCAAGUACAUGAAUGAGAUUCGCCAGGCCCCGACGCUACGCUCGCAGCAGCAGAUGCACCUGAACGCGACAGCCAAGAUCAACUACCGCUCCAUGCCACCCGGACUGUGGAAGCGCUACGGCGAGAAGGAUACGUACUGGCAGACGCCACAGCUGCUCGGCAGGUCGGAGGACGAAAGUCACAGGUAAACGCUGCCGCUGGCGAUGACGGAGAGCUCCGCGAGCCACUCUCGGCCCCCCUCCGCCGUGUCGCGCUUGCUCAGACAUGCUGCUCAAGUGUCUUUACACACCAGCGCGAGCAUUGACACACGCGCACGCCUAUACGGGUGCACAUGUAUGUGCGCAUGUGCGUGUGCGUGGCGAGUGCUAACAACGACGCAGUAAUGGCGCAAGCACAAACAAAAGAAACAGAGCCGCACGCGCCGACGGAAAGGCGGGAGGCCGUCCCAGCCCCCUCCGCGCCCAUCAUGCACACAUGAGUGACGGCGGUGUAGGAUGGAAGCGGUCUGGGCUAACCCUCUACUGUGAUUCCUGCUUCGCACACACACACACUCACGGCACACCUGCCCACACGCAGGACAGGGAAUGGCGAGCACAGCGUGUGUGUGUGAGCGAGAGAGAGGGCGACGCUUGCGCUGCGUUCCCUUUUUCACGCUAUGCACGGAGGUGUGCGCGCGUUCUGCUCUACGACUCCCACCUUGUGUUUGCACCGAUCGUUUUACCGUUGCUCUUUUCUCUCUGCUCGACUCUCCUUCAUUUCGACUCGGCGUUGCUCACCUUCACGUCGUACCCCGCGCCUCGCAG
RNAcentral lists this unclassified non-coding RNA (4795 nucleotides) under Leishmania donovani. Its description in RNAcentral is "gene:LdHU3.22.1080(CDS-product:50S_ribosome-bindi ng_GTPase/Dynamin_family/Elongation_factor_Tu_GTP_binding_d omain_containing_protein_putative)". The record is from RNAcentral. Lineage: Eukaryota; Euglenozoa; Kinetoplastea; Trypanosomatida; Trypanosomatidae.